RNAcentral lists this ribosomal RNA (497 nucleotides) under uncultured bacterium. Its description in RNAcentral is "partial 16S ribosomal RNA". It matches the Rfam family "Bacterial small subunit ribosomal RNA", at positions 28 to 507 of the family's 1533-position model. The record is from RNAcentral.
GACGAACGCUGGCGGCGUGCCUAAUACAUGCAAGUUGAGCGCUGAAGGUUGGUACUUGUACCAACUGGAUGAGCAGCGAACGGGUGAGUAACGCGUGGGGAAUCUGCCUUUGAGCGGGGGACAAAAUUUGGAAACGAAUGCUAAUACCGCAUAAAAACUUUAAACACAAGUUUUAAGUUUGAAAGAUGCAAUUGCAUCACUCAAAGAUGAUCCCGCGUUGUAUUAGCUAGUUGGUGAGGUAAAGGCUCACCAAGGCGGUGAUACAUAGCCGACCUGAGAGGGUGAUCGGCCACAUUGGGAAUGAGACAAGGCCCAAACUCCUACGGGAGGCAGCAGUAGGGAAUCUUCGGCAAUGGACGAAAGUCUGACCGAGCAACGCCGCGGGAGUGAAGAAGGGUUUCGGAUCGUAAAACUCUGUUGGUAGAGAAGAAAGUUGGUGAGAGUGGAAAGCUCAUCAAGUGACGGUAACUACCCAGAAAGGGACGGCUAACUACGUG